CCUCUCACCCCUUAUAUACCAGUCAAAUACUUUCCUCUUCAAUUUUCAUAUUUCAAUCUGAAAAUCAAGAAUUUAUCUUCUAAAUCUUCAGUCAUCCUCAAAUCUCGGUAUUAAGCUGUGAUUUGGGUUUCAAAAUCCCUAAUUCUCUCCCUUCAGUUGUAAAAUCAGUCGUCCCUUUAAUAUUUCAACAUUCUUGCUUUGUAACCUCUAAUUUCCAUCCGACUCCUUUUCUUUGAUCUUUUUGGUAAGCUUCGAUGGCGGAACAAGAGGAGGAAACGAUGGCAAAAUUUGAAGUGGAUGACAGACCGAUUGGGAGAGAGACGAACAUCAAUCGACCAGGGUCUUCCACCACCUCUCUCACUGCCGCAUCAAGCAGAUAUCGCUCUUCUCAACAUAGGUGACAAUCGAACGACUGGUGACUCAACGGAUGACCAUUGACCCUAACUGCCAUAAGGUGAUGUUAUUAUUUCCAACAAGGCUCUCAUAAAACAAGAUGUAUCCAUGGUCAGUGUUGCUUUCAUAUUCCUGAGCCGAACCAAAUGAAGUUUGAACUGCUGACACUACAUCAACUAUGGUAACUGAAAUUUAAGACUUUGCUUAUGUACUUAUUAUGGUUAUAACUCCAUGAUUUCAGAAAAUUGAUCAAAGUUAGUAUCUUUUUGGUAAAGUUUAAUUUUCAAGGAAAAACUAGGCAUGGUGGUUUGUUUAAAAAGUCAUUAUGUUAAUAUUUUGUUAUAGUUUGUUGAUUCAAUUUGUUUAUUUUCAACUGUACCAACCAUACAAUCUGUUUAAUAUGUGUAUUUUGUUAAGCCGUUUAUGUUUAUUACAUCCUUACUUCUGAACACGGUAAGCAACUUACACUUUUGUUCUCCAUUAUGUAACUGUAAGUUGUCAAUUUAUCUCACUAAGCUUGCCAGUGUUUAUGCUCAAUGAAGCACUUAUUAUGAUAAGCAGAAAUAUCAAUGCAAUAUGGAGAGAAUUAUUAUACAACAGAGAGGAUACACGGUGAAGGCGAAGUUUAAUCACGAUUUGUUGCUGUCGGAUGCUCUAAUUUGGUUGAUUUCCGCUUAGGCAAAAUAUGGACGAUUAUACCCCUGUUUACAAAAUGGUUGGUCUGAAAGAUUGUCAAUAUCAUUGGAUGGUAAUUUGGUGAAUGUUAAAGAUCAUGUUUAAUUUGAAGGCGUUGGAAGUAUCAAUAAAGGUGCUAAUCACCCGAUGAAAGUUUUGGACAAUUUUACCCCAAGGUUAGUAUGGAGCUUUCGUGAAGACAUAGUUUCUACAUGGUUCUAUUUACCAUUAGCAAUUCAUGUUUCUGUUGGGUGUCGAUGGGGAAUCAAAUUGAUAUUAUCACAACCAUGGAAGUACAUUGCUAUUAUUGGGAUAUUUAACUUUAAGUCACAAUAAAGAUGUUGCAAGUUUUAAUG
Lactuca sativa (garden lettuce) is the source of this 1424-nucleotide non-coding RNA. The record is from RefSeq and is a predicted model, not a curated record. NCBI's taxonomy places the organism in Eukaryota, Viridiplantae, Streptophyta, Magnoliopsida, Asterales, Asteraceae.